RNAcentral lists this ribosomal RNA (455 nucleotides) under uncultured bacterium. Its description in RNAcentral is "bacterial SSU rRNA". It matches the Rfam family "Bacterial small subunit ribosomal RNA", at positions 34 to 507 of the family's 1533-position model. The record is from RNAcentral.
CGCUGGCGGCGUGCUUAACACAUGCAAGUCGAACGGAAGUAAGAGCUUCGGUUUUACUUUAGUGGCGAACGGGUGAGUAACGCGUGGGUAACCUGCCUCAUACAGGGGGAUAACAGUUAGAAAUGACUGCUAAUACCGCAUAAGCGCACAGGACCGCAUGGUCUGGUGUGAAAAACUCCGGUGGUAUGAGAUGGACCCGCGUCUGAUUAGCUAGUUGGUGGGGUAACGGCCUACCAAGGCGACGAUCAGUAGCCGGCCUGAGAGGGUGAACGGCCACAUUGGGACUGAGACACGGCCCAAACUCCUACGGGAGGCAGCAGUGGGGAAUAUUGCACAAUGGGGGAAACCCUGAUGCAGCGACGCCGCGUGAGUGAAGAAGUAUUUCGGUAUGUAAAGCUCUAUCAGCAGGGAAGAAAAUGACGGUACCUGACUAAGUAGCACCGGCUAAAUACGUG